UUGAUCCUGCCGGACCCUACUGCUAUCGGGGUGGGACUUAAACAGGCGAGUCGAACGACUUCAAGCCAUGAUGAAGUCGUGGCACACGGCUCAGUAACACGUGGCUAACCCACCCUCGGGACGGAGACAACCCCGGGAAACUGGGGCUAAUCCCCGAUAGGCGAAGACCCCUGGAAUGGGUCCUCACCCAAAAGGCGUUAUAGUCAUGCUCUGUAACCUCGCCCGAGGACGGGGCCGCGGCCGAUCAGGUAGUUGGUGAGGUAACGGCUCACCAAGCCUAUAACCGGUACGGGCCGCGGGAGCGGGAGCCCGGAGAUGGGCACUGAGACAAGGGCCCAGGCCCUACGGGGCGCAGCCGUUGCGAAAACUCCGCAAUGCACGAAAGUGUGACGGGGCUACCCCGAGUGCCGUCCGCUGAGGAUGGCUUUUCUCUGCUGUAAGGAGGCGGAGGAAUAAGGAGAGGGCAAGUCUGGUGUCAGCCGCCGCGGUAAUACCAGCUCUCCGAGUGGUAGGGAUGAUUAUUGGGCUUAAAGCGUCCGUAGCCGGCCUUUCAAGUCUCUCGUUAAAUCCAGCGAUUCAAUCGUUGGACUGCGGGAGAUACUGUUUGGCUAGGGGGCGGGAGAAGCCGACGGUAUUCUCAGGGUAGGGGUAAAAUCCUAUAAUCCUGGGAAGACCACCAGUGGCGUAGGCGGUCGGCUAGCACGCGCUCGACGGUGAGGGACGAAAGCUGGGGGAGCGAACCGGAUUAGAUACCCGGGUAGUCCCAGCUGUAAACGAUGCGGGCUAGGUGUUGGAGCGGCUACGAGCCGCUUCAGUGCCGCAGGGAAGCCAUUAAGCCCGCCGCCUGGGGAGUACGGCCGCAAGGCUGAAACUUAAAGGAAUUGGCGGGGGAGCACCAUAAGGGGUGAAGCUUGCGGUUUAAUUGGAGUCAACGCCGG
This 938-nucleotide ribosomal RNA is filed under the name uncultured archaeon. Its description in RNAcentral is "bacterial SSU rRNA". It matches the Rfam family "Archaeal small subunit ribosomal RNA", at positions 8 to 921 of the family's 1478-position model. The record is from RNAcentral.